Molecule: small nucleolar RNA, 86 nt
Filed under: Oryza longistaminata (longstamen rice)
Lineage: Eukaryota; Viridiplantae; Streptophyta; Magnoliopsida; Poales; Poaceae
Description: snoRNA SNORD24
Rfam family: Small nucleolar RNA SNORD24
About the family: U24 is a member of the C/D class of snoRNA which contain the C (UGAUGA) and D (CUGA) box motifs. C/D box snoRNAs have been shown to act as methylation guides for a number of RNA targets.
Source: RNAcentral
GACCAGUGAUGUGAGAAAUAUUUGCUACUCUUGAUGGGGCAUUGAGCCCCAUCUGAUGAUUACUAACCACCAAGAUCUCUGAGGCC